GUCUAUGGCCAUUCCACCCUGAACACGCCCGAUCUCGUCUGAUCUCGGAAGCUAAGCAGGGUCGGGCCUGGUUAGUACUUGGAUGGGAGAGAAAGAAAGGUUUUAUUUUUU
This is a ribosomal RNA of Ochotona princeps (American pika), 111 nucleotides long. The record is from Ensembl. NCBI's taxonomy places the organism in Eukaryota, Metazoa, Chordata, Mammalia, Lagomorpha, Ochotonidae.